Small nucleolar RNA from Arvicanthis niloticus (Nile rat), 133 nucleotides. RefSeq annotates it as small nucleolar RNA SNORA17. NCBI's taxonomy places the organism in Eukaryota, Metazoa, Chordata, Mammalia, Rodentia, Muridae. The record is from RefSeq and is a predicted model, not a curated record.
CCUGCCCCUUGGAGGUGUUGCAGAUAUGGCUGCCAUGUCACAUGUGGAUCUGUAGGUGGCAGAGAGGAGAUAGCCUAUGUCUAGGCUCAGUGUUCUGACCUAUGGACUUCUGAAUGAUUAGUAACCUAACACA